GGGGGAUAACCCGGGGAAACCCGGGCUAAGACCGCAUAAGCCUUCGAGGUCAAACUCAAAGGGAAAAGGGUUUAGCUUUCGAGCUUGAUCCUGCCGGAGGAGGGGCCCGCGUCCCAUUAGCUAGUUGGUGGGGUAAAAGCCUACCAAGGCUACGAUGGGUAGCCGGUCUGAGAGGACGGACGGCCACACUGGAACUGAGACACGGUCCAGACUCCUACGGGAGGCAGCAGUGGGGAAUUUUGGGCAAUGGGCGAAAGCCUGACCCAGCAACGCCGCGUGGAGGAUGAAGGCCCUCGGGUCGUAAACUCCUGUCCUAGGGGAAGAAAAAAAUGACGGUACCCUUGGAGGAAGCCCCGGCUAACUCCGUGCCAGCAGCCGCGGUAAGGCGGGGGGGGCGAGCGUUGUUCGGAAUUACUGGGCGUAAAGGGCGCGCAGGCGGCUUGGGAAGUCUUGGGUGAAAGCCCCCAGCUCAACUGGGGAAUGGCCCGAGAAACCACUAGGCUGGAGUGCUGGAGAGGGAAGCGGAAUUCCCGGUGGAGCGGUGAAAUGCGUAGAUAUCGGGAGGA
This 566-nucleotide ribosomal RNA is filed under the name uncultured bacterium. RNAcentral's name for it is "bacterial SSU rRNA". It matches the Rfam family "Bacterial small subunit ribosomal RNA", at positions 138 to 705 of the family's 1533-position model. The record is from RNAcentral.